CUUCACUGUACUGUGAGGAGCCCCAGUCUCAUCUCUGAGGACCAAUCAGGAUGCAGGAUACAGCAAGGAGGAGAGUUUAUCCUAUUGGAUAGUGUGUGACAAGGGCUCUAGGGGGCGCUUGUGUCUUUGGUGCAGUGGGCCCUGCACUGGUGCGGGCCGGGUGGGCUGGAGUGGGCUCCUAGACCGCACGUCGAGCACUUUCAGUGCCAGAUCGAGGCCUGAAUGCCCGGCUAAAAACCAUGUCCCAGAGGCGACGCCUCUGUAAAUGUUAUGGGACUCUCUCUCAGCGCAGGGAGCCAGGUCAAGCGUCUCACACUGCAGGUCCGCACUUGGCUGUGGAGCUGGUCCUGAGAAUCCGCAGUCUGCCGAGUUCGGACGCUACGCCGCUAAAUCAGAAUCCCACCUAAAAGAUGGGCGCCUGUUCCAACGGGUUCUCUUUCCUGACCCCCGCACAGCCGCGGAAAUCUCUCGCACCAGCAACUGUCCAGCCAGGCUCCCAGGAAUAACACUCAACUCCACUGCUGAUCCUGACCCUGUUCACCUCAGGACUCAAGAGGUCACUAUCCUCUUCCGGUGCCUUCUGUCCAGGGAAACCCAAGGCCUCCUUCCAGAACUGUCUCCUAUCUAACAGGACCCCGGCUGCUCUCCCUCCACCCCAUGCACAUUAACACAGAAACGCCAGUUCAAUUCCAGAAACAGGGUUUAACCCCCCCUCCAGUGGGCUGUGUACAUUGUACUAUGUAUUGCCUUGUAAUUUGCACGAUCAGCACUUUGCACAAUGUGUAUCCUGUCUACAGUGUCUAUAUCGGUGUCCUGCCUGUAUCUGCACCACAGACCAGGAGGAACGAUAUUUCGUCCCACUGUAUACUUGUAUGUGGCUGGAACGACAAAUAAACGUGAACUUGAACAAUGUCUCUGCUCCUUCUGCUCCUCUAUCUAAAUA
Molecule: long non-coding RNA, 943 nt
Filed under: Lepisosteus oculatus (spotted gar)
Lineage: Eukaryota; Metazoa; Chordata; Actinopteri; Semionotiformes; Lepisosteidae
Description: lncRNA (ENSLOCG00000021705.1)
Source: RNAcentral